This 755-nucleotide long non-coding RNA is filed under the name Equus caballus (horse). RNAcentral's name for it is "lncRNA (ENSECAG00000054275.1)". Lineage: Eukaryota; Metazoa; Chordata; Mammalia; Perissodactyla; Equidae. The record is from RNAcentral.
ACUGAGUUGCCCAAAUAUAAAUACCCCCAGGGAAUACCUUGAGUGUAAGAAUUAUGCUGUUUGUUGAUUAUUUCAGUAAGCAAGUAUUGAAUGCCUUACUGCAAGGCAGACAGGGGAUAGAGUGGACAGACAGACAAGGUCCCUACCCACAUGGAGCAUCCAUACGGCUCAAAGGCAACACAGCAUCAAGGCAAAGGAUGGUAAGAAGCACAUGCCUUAGCAGAGCACAGGCCACACCCCGUACAGGAGACUGGGUUAGACUGGAAUCUGGAGGUUGAGUGAGAGCUCCCUCAGUACAGUGAGCUCCUUGGUGGACAUGCGCAGAGGAUUUCAACCAGAGAGCCGGAAGUUCAAGGAACUGAAAGAAUCUGCGUGUGGACGCUUAAAGUGUGGAGCCUAAAGGGAAGGAGAAAACAGAAAGAAAACACAAACUAAGAAGAAUGGAGGUUAGACUGGAUUAAAGUUGUUCACGGAAGAGCUGCAGCCCUUUCCAUCUCUCUUCCUUCAGUUUGAAGCCCAAUCACUGGAAAAAUACAUACAUCAACAGCUGCCCACUCACGCCCUGCCCAAAUUGCAAUUCGUGUCUUCAAACUGUCUUUGUUUACACCAGAGAAAUUCAAUUAGAGCAGGUAAUACACAUGAGCAGCAUUCCCAAUGGACCCACAGUCUUAUCAAUGAUUUCCUGUCAGUUCAAUGUUAAGUUUGGCUAAAAAUUUUGGAAGCACCAAAUAUCACACAACUACAAUGACUUGGGG